RNAcentral lists this transfer RNA (60 nucleotides) under Tricentrus sp. EMHAU-15062504. Its description in RNAcentral is "tRNA-Cys". RNAcentral also lists the same sequence under 1 other name. The record is from RNAcentral. Lineage: Eukaryota; Metazoa; Arthropoda; Insecta; Hemiptera; Membracidae.
GUCUUAAUAGUUUAAUAAAAUGUUAAAUUGCAAAUUUAAUGAUACCUUGUGUUUAAGAUU